AUGAAAUUCAUCAAUCCGAAAGAGGGCAAGAGCGGAGAGAGGGAACAGGGCCCAGGCGAGAGAAACAAAACAGCAAGGACGAGGCCAGUCUGAAGCCGAAUGAUUCAAACGUCGAGAACCAGGUGUUUCAGGGAAGAGCGAAGCCUGUCUGACAGACUCGGUGGGAGCCGCGCCCUCAGCGCAGGACGUGGGAGAUGGACGUUGAAGGAGAGACCAGGCGCGCGGACCCGGAAGAGAGCGGACAGUCGUGUUGACACAGCUGGCGCAAGAGUGUGGGGACACUGAGGCCAGGGCUCUGCUGGCGCUGAGGGGAGGGGGUCUCCUCACGCAGGACGGCCCACCCACAGGAGGACGCGUUCUAUGUCGAUGGCUUUGCUACCCUGGUCUCAAACACGGGGAGCACGGCGGCCGAGUCACAGGCGGAGACAGACCCACGGCCGGCGCAGAACACCGCAGACUUCUCCCUUCCCGCCCGACAGGACGAGCAGGCGAGAAGACGGACUGACGGAGGGGCUCAAACAACAGUGACCUCGCUGAUACACAGACAAUAACCCCCGCAGCGGGGAGCGGCGGACCACGCCAAAACCACGGAGCCCGGCCACCAAGCGAGCAGAGCUUGCGCAGGAUUUUCCUGUGUCAUCCCUGCGCAGUGGAACAACCCCAUCCGAUACCAGGGGUAUUUUUAAGUCACCGUCAGAGUCAUGUAUCUACUCUUUAAAUGUUAGAUUUGUGCAUCCUUGUUGUCAAGUAAAAUCAGCUGAUAAUUUUCUUUUCUACUGAACGUACCCCGUAUAUGACAAAGGGCCCGCCCCCAGAGUGGCUUUCUCCAGCUUGAUUUGUGGAUGGACACGCGUGUGCCAAGAGAUGAAGUUGGCAAGAGGGAAAGUCACCUCCCAUGUUGACUCAUUUAUUCACUCGUCAAAUGGGUUCUGAGGAUUCUGGAUAAACCCUGAACUGUGCCACCCAGAAGUCACCACGCUGAGGACGACAAGACCUGCAGGUGCACUACUUGGCUGGCAGACAACACCUCUGGAGUGAGGAGUUACUGAAACAAGGCCUGAAGUGUGUGAGGUCGGCUUUGGAACUGGGCAGCGAGCCCGAAGGAGCUCCAGGUGCUGCUAGCGAAGCCUUGAAGAGAUUUGCAAUGCCCUCAGGCUGGAUCACAGGCUUCCUUUACUCCACAGCCUGCUGUGGCCAUCACCGCCCCGUCUAUUGACAGUCUUGACCACCCAGAGGGACGAGAGGAUUGGAGGCCAUCACGACUGAAGGCUCAGUGGCGGGGGCGACAGGAUAUUCUUAGAUCCAAUUGUCGUAAAGUGGACGGCCCGCGUCACUCCCGCUCUCACGAGUGUCUGCAAGAGCGCCUUGGACACGCCUGGCGGGGACAUGACCACUAGCUGGGGCCCACAUCCCCACUGCCUGGCCUUGAGCUCGUGUGGCCCAGAGCCUGGUUCUCCCACACGAAGCGGGCAGGAGAGACGCCCGUGCACGGGGCUGGACCCUCUCAGCUGACAGAGAAGGAAGUAGAAGAAGCGUGUGGACGCGCUGACCCUUCCCAGGGGUCGGCACGAAGGUCCAGAACAGGACUGCUGGCUCCACGCGCCGUCACGCCCAUCGUGCUUUUCCUCUCCUCUUUCCACGUAACGCUCCCUUCCUGGCGCAGAAGCUGACAGUGUGGGGGCUUCUCACUCACUCGGGGACUCGGCUCCCAACCGCCUCAGAAGCAGCUUGCUUGCCACCUGUUGAAGAUGAAGCCGCCGAGGCCCAGAGAGUUUGCACAGAUGCUGGGAGAGCUCCACGCUGAAUUCACGACGGGGCAGAGCAGCGGCUUCGAGGAAGGAGAGCCCAGCGGGGCAGGAGGACGAGCUCGCCCUGCCCGGGUGCCACCCACACAGAGAGCCCCCAGCCUCUCUGAGAGGAGGCGCCUGUCCCGUUUGGCUCGGGCAGCAGUAACAAACGGCCACAGGCUGACGGCUUGAACAACAGACGUUCGUUCUCUCACAGUCUGGGGGCUGGACAUCCGAGAUCCGGCUGUCUCAGGGCUGGUUCCUCUGAGGGCUCGCUCCUCGGUGUGUAGACACCGUCUUCUCCCUGUGUCCUCGCAUGGUCGAACCUGUGCGUGUGUCUGCGUCCCCAUCCCCUCUUCUCAUAGGGACCCCAGUGAACGGGAUUAGGCCACCCUGGUGACCUCAGUUUACCUGAAUCACCUCCAAACAUAGACACAUUCUGGGGUCCUGAGAGUUAGGAAUGUGAAUUUGGGGGCACAUUUCAGCCCAUAACAACCCCAAACCCCAUUUCCUGAGGCUGAGGACGGGGUCAGGGGCCGCCUCUCCAACUCCAGCCCACUGCCCUGCUGGCCUCACUCCCCCACGGGUGGGCGGAGAGGCCGUGGGCAUGUCUGGAAGUUUCUGGAGUGUAGAUCACCAGCUCCCAGGGCCAUAGCAGGCUCGCAGGAGGGUGCUAGAAAUUUCCCAGCAGCUCAACCAGCCGCGCCCAAGGUUCCUCCCAGCACCGCAGCCAGGAGGCCAGGAACAAGGGCAGGAGCCCAGAGCCCCGUGCAGACACCUCUGCUGUGGACCAGACAGUCCCAGGUCACAUCUUCACGGUCUGGGUGGGGGUGGGGACUGUGCCCGGGUCCCAGGACUUCAAAGGUCCAGCCCACGUGUGCCACUCCCACCGCCUGGGCCCACCGCCCCUCCCCACCACACGGCUGCGUCCCCUCCACACGGGCGCCCCUGCCCUUCACACGCCCUGUGUCCCCUCUGAGCUCCUGCAUCCAGCCCGGGCUCACAUCAGUGUCUGAAUGACUUUUAAAAUCGUAAGAGAAACAAAG
Equus caballus (horse) is the source of this 2833-nucleotide long non-coding RNA. The record is from Ensembl. NCBI's taxonomy places the organism in Eukaryota, Metazoa, Chordata, Mammalia, Perissodactyla, Equidae.